UACGGAGGGGGCUAGCGUUGUUCGGAAUUACUGGGCGUAAAGCGCGCGUAGGCGGCUUUGCAAGUCAGAGGUGAAAGCCUGGAGCUCAACUCCAGAACUGCCUUUGAAACUGCAUCGCUAGAAUCAUGGAGAGGUUAGUGGAAUUCCGAGUGUAGAGGUGAAAUUCGUAGAUAUUCGGAAGAACACCAGUGGCGAAGGCGACUAACUGGACAUGUAUUGACGCUGAGGUGCGAAAGCGUGGGGAGCAAACAGG
Molecule: ribosomal RNA, 253 nt
Filed under: uncultured bacterium
Lineage: Bacteria
Description: partial 16S ribosomal RNA
Rfam family: Bacterial small subunit ribosomal RNA
Source: RNAcentral